Carcharodon carcharias (great white shark) is the source of this 1419-nucleotide long non-coding RNA. RefSeq lists it as uncharacterized. NCBI's taxonomy places the organism in Eukaryota, Metazoa, Chordata, Chondrichthyes, Lamniformes, Lamnidae. The record is from RefSeq and is a predicted model, not a curated record. The transcript is spliced from 4 exons.
GGCCGCGUUCAGGAGGAGCAGGGACGGAAGCGGCCUCCUUAUCGUAACCAACCCGGUACAGACACAAGACAGAUUUCCAGCAUCUGCAGUAUUUUGCUUUUUUUCAAGACUUUAAGAAUGGGAAGUCGCAACAGCAGAGCGGUCUCUGCCAAUCCCCCCGCUUCUCAACGUACUAAGAACAAACUGAAACCAGCGAAACUGGAGCUUAAAUUAGGAACUUUGAAGAUGGGUAUUCCAGAAUCCAGUGCAGAUUACAAACUUGAUCUAGAGUCAUGUUCAACAGCUGGUAUAUUACAAUUGCUGCUCUGCCUAUCAGAACCACCCUACUUCUGUUGAGGGCUCAACGCAGGCGCAGGGACCAUGAGAAGAGAAUCAGGAAACAUGUCUGCAUUCAACUUGGAAUUAGCGACAUGUGCCACACAUUGCAGAAUGCUGCAAGGACCUGCAUUUGCCAGGCAACUGAAGCAAUUUUUCAUCAGGCUUCAGUUUUUAUUAAUUUUGACAUGUCCCCUUUCAGGAUGAAGGAGUGGUCCCUUGCAUUCCACAAGAUUGCUGGUUUCCCAAAGUUAUUGGGGCUAUCGAUGGGACACAUAUUCUGUUGAAGAUGCCAGUAGAUGAGGCUGUUUCAUUCAUCAGCAGGAAGGGGUUCCAUUCGCUGAAUGUGAUGAUAGUGUGUGAUGCCCAAAUGAAGAUCCUCAAUGUGCAUGCAAACAAUCGGGAAGUGCCCAUGACACAUUUGACCCGGCGAACUCAAUGUUGCACCAGACCAUGACAGCAUCACCAGGAAUUAGAGGAUGGCAACUGGGUGAUAAGGGAUGGCUUAUAACACCACUUCGGAGGAUCACCAAUGAAGCACAGGAGCGAUAUGAUCGUGCACAUGUAGCAAUGCAUCAGGUGGCGAAAAGGACAAUUGGAAUUCUAAAGGCACGUUUUUGAUGUCUGGACAGGUCAGGGAGCAGGUUCCAGUAUGCACCUGCAAUAGUCUCAAAGAUAUAGUACGUUGUAGUAUGUUGUGCAUUGCACAACUUUGCCCUCCAGCAAGGACUGAACCUUCACCCUGAAGUUGACUUGGCGCCAGAAAUGGCGGAGCUAGAGGAGGGCAAUGUGGAGCCUGAUGCACACAUGCCUCCUGGAGCAUGUGAGAAGGCCCAGGCUCCAGCUGCAGCCAGGGCAGCUCGAGAUCGCCUGGUCACUUCUCCUUUUGGACAUUGAACUUUGAAAAUUCACCAUGUGUCCCUCCCUCCCUUCCUCCUUCCCUCCCUCCUUCCAUUCCAAAAUAAGACAAGAGAACUGUUGUGGUAAAGUUUUAAAAAAGGUUUCAUUUUAUUUGUGCAAAUGUAGGAAUGUGAGGUAGUUAUUAUUCAAAAUGUUGUAGUGCAGCUGCUUAAGUUAAAGGUUACACUGUUGUCAAAAAUGUAA